This 1045-nucleotide unclassified non-coding RNA is filed under the name Hevea brasiliensis (rubber tree). Lineage: Eukaryota; Viridiplantae; Streptophyta; Magnoliopsida; Malpighiales; Euphorbiaceae. The record is from RNAcentral.
AUAUAUAUAUAUAUAUUGAUGGAUGCGGGUUUAAUCCAUAAUAAGCUUUUAUUGCAAAUUGCUUUGUAUAUGUGAAGUUAAUGGUUGUGAAUUUUCUUUUUUGGGUUCUUUUUGGGAGUCAGAGCUUGCUUUUAAUCCCAAAUUCACAUUUAUUUUGAACUAUUACGAUAGAAUGAAUCUUUUUAAGUACUAUUUUAUUUAUUACUAGCAAACUAAAAGGACUUACUGAUACCAUUGAGAUGCUGACUUGGUGUCACUGCAUGUUACUCCUCAUGUCUGACUGUGGAUUGUGGAAGAAGAAUUCAAUGUUUUUUUUUUACUUAUGAUGAUUUCUAUCUAUUUUGUCGAAGGGGAUGAGUUUAGUUCCUAUGGUGAAUUUGUUGACUGCUCUGUGGAGUAACGGGAUCAAGUUGCAUUCUUUAUUUAAGGGAACUAUUCCCAAUUUUAUUUCGGGGAACUAAUGAAUUUUUCAGUCUUCCGGUGAGAUUUCCCCUGAAUAAUGAAAUUGGUGAUGAAUGGGUUAAUUUAAAUGUCGAGAAUGAUUCUUUUUUUACCAAAUAACAUAUUCUUUAUUUUGGCCAAAUGCAUGUAGGCUAACAAGUUCAAUUACAAUUAAGUGGCUAAAAGUUCUUAAAGUUUUGGCAUGAAAAACUAUUUCUCCAAGCUUGGUUAGUUCAUUGUGAAAUUCUUUUAUUCAUCUUCUACCAAGGACUUUUCAUUUUAUUGAUUCUAAAUGGAAAAUGGCAAAAAUGUCAAAAAUUUUCUUGGUUUCAAUGUUUCCAGAACUCUUGAAAUGGUAAAUUAUAGACCAUAGUUAGGUUUGCAUCCAAAGUUCCAAAGUUUGCUUCAAAUAGAGUCAGUGUUUGUAUUUAAAUUGUAGGGACUAUUUGGCCUGCUUAUUAAUAAGGAUUUUUGGUUAUUCCUUUUUUUUUUCCUUUUUUGGAAAAAGAAAAGAGAAGCAAAAGGCACCUUGGUUGCUUUUGUGUAAGGCUUAUAUGAUGGAUCUUAGAAGGCCUGUAUCUCUCCGUCUUUCCUGAUGACAUAA